Molecule: long non-coding RNA, 3405 nt
Filed under: Heterocephalus glaber (naked mole-rat)
Lineage: Eukaryota; Metazoa; Chordata; Mammalia; Rodentia; Bathyergidae
Description: lncRNA (ENSHGLG00100037367.1)
Source: RNAcentral
UGCACGUGCACACACGCACACGCACUCACACGUGGGCGCUCGUGCGCAGCAUGCUCCAGCACGCGCACCUGGCGCAGGGGACUUCACUCUGGGCGCAGAGGGAGCUGGCGCUUUGGCCACAGCGGGCUCCUUGAAGACUCGGGGUUCAGAAAAGCCCCUGUGCGGGCUCCAUCUCUCCUCUCCUGGAAGCACCCCCUUUCCCUUCAAAUCUCAGCGACCUCUGUCAUGUCCUCUACCAAAUCUUGGAGCAGAUCUGAUAUCAUUUGCUCAGGCCUGGGGUGUGGCGUGAACUCUCAUGGCAGGUGAGUAGGUGCUCGGAAGCCCUGCCACCUGUACCCCUGUUGCCAUUGGCUUCAGGUCCCUGGCAGCUGCCUGUGGCCCGGGCCUGUCUGUCCCUUUGACUGUCGAUGUUAGAGAGCACCUGGGCCGGGGUUCACGACCCUCCCUAAAGUCACCCGAAAACCGGCCGCAACGCCAGCAGGGCUUCCUUGAGAAGACAGAUUUUGUCAGCAAUACACAGGGUUCAGUGGGUCCCAGCUUUUCCAUUUCCUGGGCAUGAGGUCUCAGGCAAAUCAUUAUUUAACCUCUCCAAGCCUCAGUUUCCCCAUCUAUAAAAAUCAGAAAGGAACCUACUCCAGAGAGGCUGCCAAUGGGAUUGUAAGAGCGCCUGUGUGUGAAGGGCUGUCUUGUUUCACACUCAAUGUGUGGCAGCUAAAAUGCGUGAUACUAUGGUUCUAUUAUCUCUUUGGCCCAAGGCCUUGAUCUAGGAAGGGGAGACGUCUGAUGGUCACAUCUGCCAAAAGAACCCAGCGCUGCUCUCCACGCAGGGCCAGCCAAAGCCUCACUUUUCUGUUUAGCGUGGGAAGAAUGACACACUCCUCCUGAUGCAAGAAUUUGGCCCAGACCUGCUGGCCUGUGAAGCGGUCAGCACUGAAGUCUCUGAGCACCUUCUGGGAGGGGCCGGGCUGGAACACAGGGCGCUGUGUAAGACCAGGCUGGCAGAAGGUCUGACCCAGGUCACAGCUGGGAGCUGGGAGCUUUACCCGGCACAUAUUUCCCAUCCCCUUCUCCCUGGCACCCAGACCCAGGUACUUUCCAGACAGCCAUGGUUCACCUGGGCUGUUCCCAGGCACAGCCCUGACCCUAGGUCUCUCCCGUGAGCUCAUCUCUGCAAAUGUGUAAAUGCAGAUGGCCACGGGUAUCAUCCCUCUCUCUCUUCGAAGAUGCUGUGUGUGUUAGCUUUCUGGUGCUGGGACAAAAUACUUGAGAAAAACAACUUAUUAGGAGAAAAAAUUGUUUUGGCUCAUAGUUUCUGAGGUUUCAGUCCAUGGCCACUUGGCCCCAUGGCCUGGGGCCUGUCGCAGCAGAGCAUGUCAUGGUGCAGAGCAUAGCAGAAGAAACUGCUCACCUCAUAGCGCCUGGCAAGGGAGAGAAAAAGAAGGAAGAAGGGCUGGGGCCCGGUACGUCCCUCAGGACACACCCCCAGUGCCUGACUUCCUCCAGACUCGGGCCCUGGGCAGCUGGCGAGGACGCAGAGCUGAUGGCAACGAGAGUGAGGUGACUUCUCUGUACUUUCUCCAGCCGUUGUGAUGCCAACUGCCACGAGGCCUCAUCAGAGGCUAAACCAGUGGGGCUGCCUCAUCUUAGACUUUCAGUCUCCAAGGGGAUUGAACUUGGAACCUUGCACUUGUGAGACAGGCGCCUGAACCACUAAGCUAAAUCCCUGGCUCUAGCUUUUCAUUACUAUAAUGGGAUACCUGAGAUGAUCAACUUACAAAGACAGAAGGUUUACUUUUGCUUAGGGUUUUGAGGGUGCCAGUCCAUGAUUGGUUGGCUCCAUUGCUUCAGGCCUGUGGUGAGCUAGGACAUCAUGGCAGAAGUGCUGGGUGGAGCUCACAUAUGGCUCAGAGGCAAAAGAGCAGGGAUGCCACAAUCCCAUUCAAGAGUGCACCCCAGUGGCCCAAAGACUUUCCACUACACCCUGCCUCUUAAAGUUUCCACCACCUCCAAGAAGUGCCACCCCAGGGACCAAGCCUUUCACACAUAGUCUUUGGGGGUACAUUUCAGAGCCAGACUAUAACAAAUAGCUUAAAAAUGCAGACAGAAGUGUAGCCAGGGCAUAGGCUUCAACUGCAAUAAGAAGAUACCUGUGCAUCAUAACAGAGCUGCCAGGGAGCCCAGAGUAUCAUGAUUCAAAUUACUAGUUUGCUGGCUGUGACUGUGGAUGAGUUCCCUAAAUGUAUGAGUCCAUUUUCUGUUACUAUGACAAAAUACCUGAGAUUGACUGGUUUAUAAAGUAAAGAGGUUUAUCUUGGCUCAUGGUUCUGGAGGUGCAGUCACAUCUCAAGAUGGGCUUCUUGCUGGCAGUGUCCUGAGGGGCACAGGGCAUCACGUGGCAAGAGACAGGAAGCUGGGACAUGUGCGUGUCCUCUGGCCUCUCUCUCUUCUUAUAAAGCUACCAGGUCCAAUCAUAGUGACCUUGCCUAUCUUAAUCACCUCUCAGAGGCCCCACCCCUAAACAACACACGCCAUUCACACAUCCACAUUCUUAAUACCCUGGGACAGGGGUUAAAUUUCAACUGCGGAGCCCUGGAGAUGCUCACAUCAUAUCUAGAUCACAGCAUGUAACUUCCCUGUCCCUCAGUUUCCUUGCCUAUGAAAUGGGGACAAUAACUGUAUCCACUUGAGGGACAGUUUGGAAAAUUAAACUCAUAUGCUUGAAGUAUUUAAAUUGCAACAAGCAUAUAUCAAGUGCUCAACAGAUACAGUCGAAUAAUUUACACCACACUUGAAAUACGUUUCUUAGCAAACUACCAUGGUAAAGAAUUGGAAGUUGGAAAGGUCAAGUUCUCCACUGAAUAUCAGUGAUAUGGUUCAGUUCAUAAAAUAGAGCUUUUAAUAUGUCAUGAAAUUUUUAUAAUAUUUUUAAAGACAAAGAAUGAGUGAAAAAUUUUUAUCUACAACAGGUUGGAUAUGUAUGUUGUAGCAAAUUAUGCAAGAUAGUAAAUAUAAAAGGAAUUAGGAAUUUUUGUGUCUAUGUUACCUAACUCUCAAAAUAUAAAAACAUCUGGAAUCUGUCCCUCAAACUAUAGUGAUAUUCAAUAAUAAAUGAUAAAAUAAUGCCUCUGAAAGAAGUAUUGAGAACAGUUUGGUUUCCAACUUGGUGAUUUUAUUGUUAGAAAAAGUAUAGUUAUAAUAUAUAUAAAAACUGUCAUAUUUGCUCAAAUCAAAAUGUGGAAACAGGAUUUUCUUGUUAAAAGAUCUGCCAAUGAAAAUGUUAGUGUUUUGGAUGCAUUUGUUUAAAAUAUAGAAAAAGUAAGACCUAUGAUUGAUAUCAUAGAAAUAGGAUUUCACUUAGGCUAACUUUGAUAUACUUAGUAUGUGAAAAUGAAAAUUAAUUUCUUG